UGACGCUCAGGUGCGAAAGCGUGGGGAGCAAACAGGUAUUAGAUACCCUGGUAGUCCACGCCGUAAACGAUGUCGAUUUGGAGGUUGUGCCCUUGAGGCGUGGCUUCCGGAGCUAACGCGUUAAAUCGACCGCCUGGGGAGUACGGCCGCAAGGUUAAAACUCAAAUGAAUUGACGGGGGCCCGCACAAGCGGUGGAGCAUGUGGUUUAAUUCGAUGCAACGCGAAGAACCUUACCUGGUCUUGACAUCCACAGAACUUUCCAGAGAUGGAUUGGUGCCUUCGGGAACUGUGAGACAGGUGCUGCAUGGCUGUCGUCAGCUCGUGUUGUGAAAUGUUGGGUUAAGUCCCGCAACGAGCGCAACCCUUAUCCUUUGUUGCCAGCGGUCCGGCCGGGAACUCAAAGGAGACUGCCAGUGAUAAACUGGAGGAAGGUGGGGAUGACGUCAAGUCAUCAUGGCCCUUACGACCAGGGCUACACACGUGCUACAAUGGCAUAUACAAAGAGAAGCGACCUCGCGAGAGCAAGCGGACCUCAUAAAGUAUGUCGUAGUCCGGAUUGGAGUCUGCAACUCGACUCCAUGAAGUCGGAAUCGCUAGUAAUCGUAGAUCAGAAUGCUACGGUGAAUACGUUCCCGGGCCUUGUACACACCGCCCGUCACACCAUGGGAGUGGGUUGCAAAAGAAGUAGGUAGCUUAAACCUUCGGGAGGGCGCUUACCACUUUGUGAUUCAUGACUGGGGG
Molecule: ribosomal RNA, 742 nt
Filed under: Klebsiella sp.
Lineage: Bacteria; Pseudomonadati; Pseudomonadota; Gammaproteobacteria; Enterobacterales; Enterobacteriaceae
Description: bacterial SSU rRNA
Rfam family: Bacterial small subunit ribosomal RNA
Source: RNAcentral